GACGAACGCUGGCGGCGCGCUUAACACAUGCAAGUCGAACGGAAAGGCCUGCUUUCCCUUGUGGAUUGCGGGUACUCGAGUGGCGAACGGGUGAGUAACACGUGAGUGAUCUGCCCCCAACUUGGGUAUAAGCCUGGGAAACUGGGUCUAAUUCCCGAUAGGACUGCAGGGUGGUGCCUGUGGUGGAGAACGAUUUUCUAGUGGUUGGGGAUGAGCUCGCGGCCUAUCAGGUUGUUGGUGGGGUAAUGGCCUACCAAGGCGGCGACGGGUAGCCGGCCUGAGAGGGUGGACGGGCACAUUGGGACUGAGAUACGGCCCAGACUCCUACGGGAGGCAGCAGUGGGGAAUAUGGCACAAUGGGCGGAAGCCUGAGGCAGCGACGCCGCGUGGGGGAUGACGGCCUUCGGGUGGUAAACUCCUUUCGACCGCGAGGAAGCCACCUGGUUGGAAGGGUGGUGACGGUAGUGGUAGAAGAAGCACCGGCUAACUACGUG
Molecule: ribosomal RNA, 494 nt
Filed under: uncultured bacterium
Lineage: Bacteria
Description: partial 16S ribosomal RNA
Rfam family: Bacterial small subunit ribosomal RNA
Source: RNAcentral